Molecule: ribosomal RNA, 1905 nt
Filed under: marine metagenome
Description: bacterial LSU rRNA
Rfam family: Bacterial large subunit ribosomal RNA
Source: RNAcentral
ACAAGCUAGAUAAGGGCGUAUGGGGAAUGCCUAGGCUCUCAGAGGCGAUGAAGGACGCGAUAAGCUGCGAAAAGCUGUGGGGAGGUGCACAUAACUUGUGAUCCGCAGAUAUCCGAAUGGGGCAACCCACUAUAUUGAAGGUAUAGUAUCCCGUAAGGGAAGUGAACCCGGUGAACUGAAACAUCUAAGUAGCCGGAGGAAGAGAAAACAAAAGUGAUUCCGGGAGUAGUGGCGAGCGAAACCGGAUUAGCCCAAACCAGUGUUGUUUCGGCAAUACUGGGGUUGUAGGACCACGACAUUGAUUGCGUAAUGAAUUAGAACACUUUGGAAAGAGUGACCGAAGAGGGUGAUAGUCCCGUACAAGUAAAGAGCGUUAAUUAUAGUGGUAUCCUGAGUAGUGCGGGGCACGUGAAACCCUGUAUGAAUCAAGCGGGACCAUCCGUUAAGGCUAAAUACUCCUGAGAGACCGAUAGUGAACCAGUACCGUGAGGGAAAGGUGAAAAGAACCCUGAAUAAGGGAGUGAAAAAGAUCCUGAAACCAUACGCUUACAAGCGGUCGGAGCCCGUAAGGGGUGACGGCGUGCCUUUUGCAUAAUGAGCCUACGAGUUACUUUUACUAGCAAGGUUAAGCACUUCAGGUGCGGAUCCGUAGCGAAAGCGAGUCUGAAUAGGGCGACCAUAGUUAGUAGUAGUAGACGCGAAACCGUGUGAUCUACCCAUGGGCAGGUUGAAGCUUUGUUAACCCAAAGUGGAGGACCGAACCCGUUGACGUUGAAAAGUCUUGGGAUGACCUGUGGGUAGGGGUGAAAGGCCAAUCAAACUCGGAAAUAGCUCGUACUCCCCGAAAUGCAUUUAGGUGCAGCGUUGAUUUAUAGUUUUAUAGAGGUAGAGCUACUGAUUGGAUGCGGGGGCUUCACCGCCUACCAAUUCCUGACAAACUCCGAAUGCUAUAAAAUGUUGUUGAGCAGUGAGGGCAUGGGUGCUAAGGUCCAUGUCCGAGAGGGAAAGAACCCAGAUCAUCAGCUAAGGUCCCCAAGUGUAUGCUAAGUUGACAAAACGCGGUAAAACUGCAUUGACAGCCAGGAUGUUGGCUUGGAAGCAGCCAUUCAUUUAAAGAGUGCGUAACAGCUCACUGGUCGAGCGGUUUUGCAUGGAUAAUAAUCGGGCAUAAGUAUACCACCGAAGCUAUGACUUUGUCUUAUGACAAGGGGUAGGGGAGCAUUCUAUGGGCAUUGAAGGUGCUGGCGUGAGCCGUGCUGGAGCGCAUAGAAACGAAAAUGUAGGCAUAAGUAACGAUAAUGCGGGCGAGAAACCCGCACGCCGAAAGACUAAGGUUUCCCCAGCUAUGCUAAUCAGCUGGGGGUCAGUCGGGACCUAACGCGAACCCGAAGGGGGUAGUGGAUGGACAAUCAGUUAAUAUUCUGAUACCUGCUCACAUUAAAAGUGACGGGGAUGAGGCGUUGGUGCGAAGAGACGGAAUUCUUCGUUGAAGGUAGCGGAAGCUACUGAUAGUACACUGAGGCUUCGGCCAAGGUGAUAAUCCAGCUUAUCAUCCUCCAAGAAAAACAAGUGAAGCAGCCCGUACCGUAAACCGACACAGGUGGUUGGGAUGAGUAUUCUAAGGCGCUCGAGAGAUUCAUGGCUAAGGAACUAGGCAAAAUAGACCCGUAACUUCGGGAGAAGGGUCGCCCCCUUAUGGGGGGCCGCAGUGAAGAGGUCCAGGCGACUGUUUAUCAAAAACACAGGGCUCUGCUAAAUCGAAAGAUGACGUAUAGGGCCUGACACCUGCCCGGUGCUGGAAGGUUAAGAGGAGAUGUUAUUUUUCGGAAGAAGCAUUGAAUUGAAGCCCCAGUAAACGGCGGCCGUAACUAUAACGGUCCUAAGGUAGCGAAAUUCCUUGUCGGG